GCUCUGCUGGCUCAAUCGGAUAGAGCACUGGACUUCUAGUCCAAAGUUUGCGGGUUCAAGUGCCGCCUAGAGUA
RNAcentral lists this transfer RNA (74 nucleotides) under Perkinsus olseni. It matches the Rfam family "tRNA". From Rfam's summary of the family: Transfer RNA (tRNA) molecules are approximately 80 nucleotides in length. The record is from Rfam by way of RNAcentral. Lineage: Eukaryota; Perkinsozoa; Perkinsida; Perkinsidae.